RNAcentral lists this ribosomal RNA (301 nucleotides) under uncultured bacterium. RNAcentral describes it as "partial 16S ribosomal RNA". It matches the Rfam family "Bacterial small subunit ribosomal RNA", at positions 509 to 807 of the family's 1533-position model. The record is from RNAcentral.
CAGCAGCCGCGGGAAUACGAAGGGUGCGAGCGUUGUUCGGAAUUACUGGGCGUAAAGGGUUCGUAGGCGGAAUUGUAAGUUAGAUGUGAAAACUCUGGGCUCAACCUGGAACAUGCAUCUAAAACUACUUUUCUUGAGUGUUGGAGAGGGCAGUGGAAUUGCUGGUGUAGGAGUGACAUCCGUAGAGAUCAGCAGGAACACCGGAGGCGAAGGCGACUGCCUGGCCGAACACUGACGCUGAGGAACGAAAGCGUGGGGAGCAAACAGGAUUAGAUACCCGAGUAGUCCCUGUCUCUUAUAC